This is a long non-coding RNA of Magnolia sinica, 594 nucleotides long. RefSeq lists it as uncharacterized. The record is from RefSeq and is a predicted model, not a curated record. Lineage: Eukaryota; Viridiplantae; Streptophyta; Magnoliopsida; Magnoliales; Magnoliaceae. The transcript is spliced from 2 exons.
GUUGUAAAGCUGUGAAACCCUUGCACAAUAGAGAAAACCCAACUUUUCUCUUGGAUCUUUGCAAAGCAUUGUGGGAUACCACAUUUCCUGCUGUAUCAUUUUCACGUUUACUUCUUCGGACUUGAAGCAAUAGACUUUUUUUAAAUAAUUUCAUAAAUAGAGAUAAAUCAUCCAUCUAAAUUUGUUAUGCAUGUAAAUCAAUUCGGACCAUCAAAAAACAUGGCCCAUAUGGUAUAAGGAACAUAUCCCAAAAUUUAAUAAUUACACUUAUUAUAGGUUUCUAUCCAUCCAAUAAGUGGUGGAUAGUUACAAAAAAGGUCAGCACCAAAGAUUUAAUAGAUGAUAACAUGUGGUUAAGUUAGUCGAGCAAAUGUGAAUUAUAUGUUAGUUUUACCAUGCAAUCACAUUAUCUCCACCAUGCAUAAUGUAACAAUGAUGGACCUCAAGCGCUGCAAAGGAAAAACCAUUCUUACAUUAUCUUCAAUUGCACGGUUGUAUUAGCUCUAAAUAUUCAUGGAUGGUUCAUAAUGUUCAGAGGUUUUGACAUACCGUUGUCUAUCCUUUCGGCUAUUGUAAACAAAAUAAAAAUAAAAA